RNAcentral lists this non-coding RNA (76 nucleotides) under Salisediminibacterium selenitireducens. RNAcentral describes it as "Bacillus selenitireducens Glycine sequence". It matches the Rfam family "Glycine riboswitch aptamer". Rfam says of the family: This family represents the bacterial glycine riboswitch. Glycine riboswitches usually consist of two metabolite-binding aptamers domains with similar structures in tandem. The aptamers cooperatively bind glycine to regulate the expression of downstream genes. Lineage: Bacteria; Bacillati; Bacillota; Bacilli; Caryophanales; Bacillaceae. The record is from RNAcentral.
GGAGACACUUCUGGAGAGUUCACGAAGGUGACGCCGAAGGAUUCAUAAUCUCAGGCAUCAGGACAGAAGCGUAGCA